UGGGUUUUGAAAGAUUUUGGUAAAUUGUUGCUCUCCUUAAUACAGGAGGAGGCUGUUUAUUCACCGUUGAAGAAACGGGUGUUGUUCUAUUCCUAAAUUGAUAAACCCUUUUAUCUUCAUUCACUGUUUUCUUGGGUUUCUGUUCUUCAUUCACUGCUUUCUUGGGUUUAUGUUCUGGUGAUGAUGCUUUUGUUUCCACUUUCUUAGUCUUCUCUUCUGGUAUUUGAAUCUCCUUAACUUCAAGGCUCUUCUUCUCAAUCUCAAUCUCCACCUCCUCAUCUAUUCCUUCCUCUUCCUCAUCUCCAUCUAAUUUUUCAUCCCCAUCAAUAACCAUAUCAUCAUGAUCAUCUUGAUUAUCCGCCAAGAGUUGAGGAGGUGAUUUGAUUAGUGCCCCAUUGGCUUCAUUGAUAGGAAUGACCUUUUCUCUGCACACACCAAACUCUUUGCAAGAUUCCUCAGAUCCAGUUUCCUCAAUUUCAGGUGGACUCUUCUCAAUUCUACUAACAGAAUC
RNAcentral lists this unclassified non-coding RNA (511 nucleotides) under Hevea brasiliensis (rubber tree). The record is from RNAcentral. Lineage: Eukaryota; Viridiplantae; Streptophyta; Magnoliopsida; Malpighiales; Euphorbiaceae.